GCAUGGUGAGAAGUCUGGAGGGGGCCCUUGAGGCCACGCUGGGAGACAGGAGAUGAGGCAGGAUGUUUUCUCAGAAAAGCCAAGGCCAGAGAUGAUGGCGCCUGGAGUAGUGUUGGAGAGAUGCUGUUUGAAUGGACAGUACCUGGUGAUGGACUGCAUAUUGAGGCUGUCAAGGGAGGCCUGGGAACAGAGAGGAUCAAGAGUACCAGAAGCCAGAAACUCAAGUGAGGGGGUGUUUCCAGAAGGAGCACUGCUGAGAGACCUAGAGUGCCCGGAGCCUGAGUGACGUCCACUGAAUCGGACCAUGAGGGUGACCAGGGAUGGUCUGGAAAGAAGGGGAUGAAGAGCCCAGUCCAGCUUGAGAAGCAGCCUUGCUGGGGUACCUGGCUGGCUCAGUCAGUGGAGCAUGUGACUUUUGGUCUCGGGUUGUGAGUGUAAGCCUCAUGUUGGAUGUAGAGAUUACUUACAAAUAAAAUUUUAAAAAAAUUUAAAAAGAAGGAACUCAGAUGAGCCCAGGGAAGGGAGGGGAACUGUGCUGGCUUGAAGAGGACAGAGUU
Long non-coding RNA from Canis lupus familiaris (dog), 557 nucleotides. RefSeq lists it as uncharacterized. Lineage: Eukaryota; Metazoa; Chordata; Mammalia; Carnivora; Canidae. The record is from RefSeq and is a predicted model, not a curated record. The transcript is spliced from 3 exons.